This 529-nucleotide ribosomal RNA is filed under the name uncultured bacterium. RNAcentral's name for it is "bacterial SSU rRNA". It matches the Rfam family "Bacterial small subunit ribosomal RNA", at positions 791 to 1314 of the family's 1533-position model. The record is from RNAcentral.
UAGUCCACGCCGUAAACGAUGAAUGCUCGCUGCAGGGAGGUCUACCCUCUUUGUGGCCAAGCUAACGCGUUAAGCAUUCCGCCUGGGAAGUACGGCCGCAAGGCUAAAACUCAAAGGAAUUGACGGGGACCCGCACAAGCGGUGGAGCAUGUGGUUUAAUUCGAUGCAACGCGAAGAACCUUACCCAGGCUUGACAUCCUCGGAACCCUGAUGAAAGUUGGGGGUGCUACCGCAAGGUAGAACCGGGAGACAGGUGCUGCAUGGCUGUCGUCAGCUCGUGCCGUGAGGUGCUCGGUUAAGUCCGGCAACGAGCGCAACCCCUAUCGUUAGUUGCCGGCAUUUAGUUGGGGACUCUAGCGAGACUGCCGGUGACAAACCGGAGGAAGGUGGGGACGACGUCAAGUCCUCAUGGCCCUUAUGUCUGGGGCUACACACGUGCUACAAUGGUAACUACAAAGGGCAGCGAAACCGCGAGGUCAAGCAAAUCCCAAAAAAGUUAGCCUCAGUUCGGAUUGGAGUCUGCAACUCG